RNAcentral lists this ribosomal RNA (535 nucleotides) under uncultured Cortinarius. RNAcentral's name for it is "eukaryotic LSU rRNA". The stretch from base 166 to 319 matches the Rfam family "5.8S ribosomal RNA". Lineage: Eukaryota; Fungi; Basidiomycota; Agaricomycetes; Agaricales; Cortinariaceae. The record is from RNAcentral.
UGCGGAGGAUCAUUAUUGAAAUAAACCUGAUGGGUGUUGCUGGCUCUCUAGGGUUGUGCACACUUGUCAUCUUUAUAUCUCCACCUGUGCACUUUUUGUAGACCUUUCAGGUCUAUGUUGCUUCAUUUACCCCAUGUUGUAUAGAAUGUUGCCUAUAUAAUAUACAACUUUCAGCAACGGAUCUCUUGGCUCUCGCAUCGAUGAAGAACGCAGCGAAAUGCGAUAAGUAAUGUGAAUUGCAGAAUUCAGUGAAUCAUCGAAUCUUUGAACGCACCUUGCGCUCCUUGGUAUUCCGAGGAGCAUGCCUGUUUGAGUGUCAUUAAUCAACCUUCUCUUUUUUUUUUGGAUGUGGGGGUUUGCUGGCCUCUUCAGCUCCCCUGAAAUGCAUUAGCAGAACAACCUGUUCAUUGGCGUGAUAAUUAUCUAUGCUAUUGAAUGUGAGGGCAGUUCAGCUUCUAACCGAAUUCAUCAUUAAUGUGACCUCAAAUCAGGUAGGACUACCCGCUGAACUUAAGCAUAUCAAUAAGCGGAGGAA